CCUACGGGGGGCAGCAGUGGGGAAUAUUGGGCAAUGGAGGCAACUCUGACCCAGCAACGCCGCGUGAAUGAUGAAGGUCUUCGGAUUGUAAAGUUCUGUGAUGGGGGAUGAACACAAUGACGGUACCCCAAUAGCAAGCCACGGCUAACUACGUGCCAGCAGACGUGGGAAUACGGAGGUGGCAAGCGUUAUCCGGAAUGACUGGGCGUAAAGGGUGCGUAGGUGGGUUAGUAAGUUGGCGGUGUAAUUCCGGGGCUCAACCUCGGCGGUGCCGCCAAAACUCUUAGACUAGAGUGCAGGAGGGGUAAGUGGAAUUCCUGGUGUAGCGGUGAAAUGCGUAGAUAUUAGGAAGAACAUCGAGGGCGAAGGCGACUUACUGGACUGUAACUGACACUGAGGCACGAAAGCGUGGGGAGCAAACAGGAUUAGAUACCCCUGUAGUC
RNAcentral lists this ribosomal RNA (443 nucleotides) under uncultured bacterium. RNAcentral describes it as "partial 16S ribosomal RNA". It matches the Rfam family "Bacterial small subunit ribosomal RNA", at positions 338 to 795 of the family's 1533-position model. The record is from RNAcentral.